CAGUCGCCACGGGAAUACGUAGGUGGCAAGCGUUAUCCGGAAUUAUUGGGCGUAAAGCGCGCGUAGGCGGUUUUUUAAGUCUGAUGUGAAAGCCACGGCUCAACCGUGGAGGGUCAUUGGAAACUGGGAAGCUUGAGUGCAGAAGAGGAGAGUGGAAUUCCACGUGUAGCGGUGAAAUGCGUAGAGACGUGGAGGAACACCAGUGGCGAAGGCGACUCUCUGGUCUGUAACUGACGCUGAGAAGCGAAAGCGUGGGGAGCGAACAGGAUUAGAUACCCGAGUAGUCCCUGUCUCUUAUACA
Molecule: ribosomal RNA, 301 nt
Filed under: uncultured bacterium
Lineage: Bacteria
Description: partial 16S ribosomal RNA
Rfam family: Bacterial small subunit ribosomal RNA
Source: RNAcentral